This is a non-coding RNA of Pelobates cultripes (western spadefoot toad), 315 nucleotides long. The record is from the annotation of a GenBank genome assembly. NCBI's taxonomy places the organism in Eukaryota, Metazoa, Chordata, Amphibia, Anura, Pelobatidae.
ACUGUCUGUCUCUGUGUGUGUGUGUGACUGUCUCUGUGUGUGACUGCCUGCCUGUGUGUGACUGUCUGUGUGUGUGACUGUCUGUCUGUGUGACUGCCCAUGUAUGUGACUGCCUGUGUGUGUGACUGUCUGUCUGUGUGACUGCCCGUGUGUGUGACUGCCCGUGUGUGUGACUGCCUGUGUGUGUGAGACUGUCUGUCUGUGUGACUGUCUGUGUGUGUGACUGUCUGUCUGUGUGUGUGACUGCCUGUGUGUGUGACUGCCUGUAUGUGACUGCCUGCCUGCCUGUGUGUGUCUGUCUGUAACUAUCUGUCU